Molecule: ribosomal RNA, 364 nt
Filed under: uncultured soil bacterium
Lineage: Bacteria
Description: bacterial SSU rRNA
Rfam family: Bacterial small subunit ribosomal RNA
Source: RNAcentral
ACGCCCCGCAAGGGGAGUGGCAGACGGGUGAGUAACGCGUGGGAAUCUACCCUUUACUACGGAAUAACGCAUGGAAACGUGUGCUAAUACCGUAUGUGUCCUUCGGGAGAAAGAUUUAUCGGUAAAGGAUGAGCCCGCGUUGGAUUAGCUAGUUGGUGGGGUAAAGGCCUACCAAGGCGACGAUCCAUAGCUGGUCUGAGAGGAUGAUCGGCCACAUUGGGACUGAGACACGGCCCAAACUCCUACGGGAGGCAGCAGUGGGGAAUAUUGGACAAUGGGCGCAAGCCUGAUCCAGCCAUGCCGCGUGAGUGAUGAAGGCCCUAGGGUUGUAAAGCUCUUUCACCGGAGAAGAUAAUGACGGUAU